This 253-nucleotide ribosomal RNA is filed under the name uncultured bacterium. Its description in RNAcentral is "partial 16S ribosomal RNA". It matches the Rfam family "Bacterial small subunit ribosomal RNA", at positions 524 to 776 of the family's 1533-position model. The record is from RNAcentral.
UACGGAGGGGACUAGCGUUGUUCGGAAUUACUGGGCGUAAAGCGCACGUAGGCGGAUUUGUAAGUCAGGGGUGAAAUCCCGGGGCUCAACCUCGGAACUGCCUUUGAUACUGCAAAUCUCGAGUCCGGAAGAGGUGAGUGGAAUUCCUAGUGUAGAGGUGAAAUUCGUAGAUAUUAGGAAGAACACCAGUGGCGAAGGCGGCUCACUGGUCCGGUACCGACGCUGAGGUGCGAAAGCGUGGGGAGUAAACAGG